RNAcentral lists this ribosomal RNA (498 nucleotides) under uncultured bacterium. Its description in RNAcentral is "partial 16S ribosomal RNA". It matches the Rfam family "Bacterial small subunit ribosomal RNA", at positions 30 to 523 of the family's 1533-position model. The record is from RNAcentral.
AUUGAACACUGGCGGCAUGCCUUACACAUGCAAGUCGAACGGUAACAGGUCUUCGGAUGCUGACGAGUGGCGAACGGGUGAGUAAUACAUCGGAACGUGCCUAGUAGUGGGGGAUAACUACUCAAAAGAGUGGCUAAUACCGCAUGAGAUCUACGGAUGAAAGCAGGGGAUCGCAAGACCUUGUGCUACUAGAGCGGCCGAUGGCAGAUUGGGUAGUUGGUGGGAUAAAAGCUUACCAAGCCGACGAUCUGUAGCUGGUCUGAGAGGACGAUCAGCCACACUGGGACUGAGACACGGCCCAGACUCCUACGGGAGGCAGCAGUGGGGAAUUUUGGACAAUGGGCGAAAGCCUGAUCCAGCAAUGCCGCGUGCAGGAUGAAGGCCUUCGGGUUGUAAACUGCUUUUGUACGGAACGAAAAGCCCCGGGUUAAUACCCUGGGGUCAUGACGGUACCGUAAGAAUAAGCACCGGCUAACUACGUGCCAGCCGCCGCGGUAA